RNAcentral lists this long non-coding RNA (533 nucleotides) under Homo sapiens (human). RNAcentral describes it as "HSALNT0331650". The record is from RNAcentral. Lineage: Eukaryota; Metazoa; Chordata; Mammalia; Primates; Hominidae.
GGGCUGCCAUAACCAAAUGCCGCAGCCUGGGUGGCUUCAACAGAAUUUCAUUUCCCCACAGUCCUGGGAGCUGGAAGCCCAAGGUCCAGGCGCUAUCUUCCAAUUCAGCCAUUCGGAGGUCUUGGCGGUUGAAACUUCAAGACAGGAAUUUGGAGUGAGGACACAGUUCAUUCCAUACACAAAGACAGGAGCGGCUUCAUCCAGAACCCGGAAGGUCUGUCCCUCUACAGAAACCCAGAUCUAAUCGUGUCGCAUCCCACACCAGAUGGGAUCUCACUAUGUUGCCCAGGCUAGAGUGCAUUGGCUAUUCACAGACGAUCAUGAUGCAAUCAUAGUGCACCACAUCCUCAAACUCCUGGACUCAAGUGAUCCUCCCUCCACAGCCUCCCAAGUAGCUGAGACUGCAGGCACACGCCACUGCACCCAGCCCUGGACUAUUAACUUUUAUAUUUUUUAUAUCCAUAGAGUCAGGCAGCUUCUGAUGCAUAGUAACCAUGUAAUAAAUGUUGAAUGAAUAAAUGUGAAUGACCAUA